Non-coding RNA from Pantherophis guttatus, 493 nucleotides. The record is from the annotation of a RefSeq genome assembly. Lineage: Eukaryota; Metazoa; Chordata; Lepidosauria; Squamata; Colubridae.
UCCCCUCCAUUCAUUAGAGGGAGCAGAAAUGAUCCUGUGGCUAAAUUUGGUGUCCUUACUAGCAGUCCUCAGAGGUGUGAAAUCUGAGGUUCAUUUGGUGGAAUCUGGAGGGGAUGUCAGAAGUCCUGGGCAGUCACUUGAUCUCUCCUGCCAAGCUUCUGGUUUCGACUUUGGUGGCUCCCAGAUGAACUGGGAGAGACAGGCUCCUGGGAAAGGACUGGAAUGGGUGGCAUACAUAAGCCCCAGCUCUGGUACUAUUUACUACUCAGACAAAGCAAAGGGACGCUUCACCAUCUCCAGGGACAAUGCCAAAAGCCAGCUGUAUCUGCAAAUGAACAGCCUCAAAGCCGAAGACACAGCAGUCUAUUACUGUGCGAGAGGCACAGUGGAAGGAAGUGAAUUGGAAGCCAGACAAGAAUCUUUUCUUCAUCUCAAUUUUUUUCAGAAGGUAGAAUUUGUGUGUUUAAAGGGACAAGCAGCUAAAUCUCCGUGA